UAACAAGGUUUCCGUAGGUGAACCUGCGGAAGGAUCAUUACCC
This 43-nucleotide ribosomal RNA is filed under the name Aurelia sp. MCA. Its description in RNAcentral is "partial 18S ribosomal RNA". It matches the Rfam family "Eukaryotic small subunit ribosomal RNA", at positions 1792 to 1831 of the family's 1831-position model. Lineage: Eukaryota; Metazoa; Cnidaria; Scyphozoa; Semaeostomeae; Ulmaridae. The record is from RNAcentral.